Agreia bicolorata is the source of this 397-nucleotide non-coding RNA. Lineage: Bacteria; Bacillati; Actinomycetota; Actinomycetes; Micrococcales; Microbacteriaceae. The record is from Rfam.
GGGGAUGAUCGGUUUCGACACUGCCUGCGAAACUGCGAGAAGCGGGCCGAGGAUUCAGGGUUAUCUCGUUAACGAUCUCUGAAAAACAAUAAGUGCCAAUUCAAACCGCACUGUCUCUGCUCAGGCAGACUUCGCCCUCGCGGCGUAGUUCUCUUCUAAGCACUAAAUAGAGACCGUCAGUCCGGGAAUGCUCUCUACCCGGGUUCUGGCGAUAUUCAGAGAGAUUGCUUCCGCGUUACGCCUGAGGGCGCGGAGGGACUUGCACUCGGGCUGGGCCCGUCGAGCUAGAUGCCUGUAGCAAAGCUCGGGGCCGAGUAGAACGACUCAACAGGAUACGCCCGUAGAAGGCGCAGAAUCACAGCAGUGGACCGGGGUUCAAUUCCCCGCAUCUCCACCA